AGACUGCCGGUAUAAACCGGAGGAAGUGGGGAUGACGUCAAAUCAUCAUGCCCUUAUGACCUGGGCUACACACGUGCUACAAUGGUUGGUACAACGAGUUGCGAGUCGGUGACGGCGAGCUAAUCUCUUAAAGCCAAUCUCAGUUCGGAUUGUAGGCUGCAACUCGCCUACAUGAAGUCGGAAUCGCUAGUAAUCGCGGACUUCAGCACGCCGCGGUGAAUACGUUCCCGGGCCUU
This 236-nucleotide ribosomal RNA is filed under the name uncultured Streptococcus sp. RNAcentral's name for it is "partial 16S ribosomal RNA". It matches the Rfam family "Bacterial small subunit ribosomal RNA", at positions 1146 to 1382 of the family's 1533-position model. The record is from RNAcentral. Lineage: Bacteria; Bacillati; Bacillota; Bacilli; Lactobacillales; Streptococcaceae.